RNAcentral lists this ribosomal RNA (478 nucleotides) under uncultured bacterium. RNAcentral describes it as "partial 16S ribosomal RNA". It matches the Rfam family "Bacterial small subunit ribosomal RNA", at positions 28 to 507 of the family's 1533-position model. The record is from RNAcentral.
GAUGAACGCUAGCGGCAGGCCUAACACAUGCAAGUCGAGGGAGAAGCCCUUUCGGGGGCAGAAACCGGCGCACGGGUGCGUAACGCGUAUGCAACCUACCUUUCACAGGGGGAUAGCCCGAAGAAAUUUGGAUUAAUACCCCAUAAUAUUAUUGGAUGGCAUCAUUUGAUAAUUAAAACUGCGGUGGUGAAAGAUGGGCAUGCGUCCUAUUAGCUAGUUGGAGUGGUAACGGCACCCCAAGGCUACGAUAGGUAGGGGUCCUGAGAGGGAGAUCCCCCACACUGGUACUGAGACAGGGACCAGACUCCUACGGGAGGCAGCAGUGGGGAAUAUUGGUCAAUGGUCGGAAGACUGAACCAGCCAUGCCGCGUGCAGGAAGAAUGCCUUAUGGGUUGUAAACUGCUUUUAUAUGGGAAGAAUAAGGCGUACGUGUACGUUGAUGACGGUACCAUAUGAAUAAGCAUCGGCUAACUCCGUG